UACGUAGGGUGCAAGCGUUGUCCGGAAUUAUUGGGCGUAAAGAGCUCGUAGGCGGUCUGUCGCGUCGGAUGUGAAAACCCAGGGCUCAACCCUGGGCCUGCAUUCGAUACGGGCAGACUAGAGUUCGGUAGGGGAGGCUGGAAUUCCUGGUGUAGCGGUGAAAUGCGCAGAUAUCAGGAGGAACACCGGUGGCGAAGGCGGGACUCUGGGCCGAUACUGACGCUGAGGAGCGAAAGCGUGGGGAGCAAACAGG
RNAcentral lists this ribosomal RNA (253 nucleotides) under uncultured bacterium. Its description in RNAcentral is "partial 16S ribosomal RNA". It matches the Rfam family "Bacterial small subunit ribosomal RNA", at positions 524 to 776 of the family's 1533-position model. The record is from RNAcentral.